RNAcentral lists this ribosomal RNA (264 nucleotides) under Bacillus sp. LP4. RNAcentral describes it as "partial 16S ribosomal RNA". It matches the Rfam family "Bacterial small subunit ribosomal RNA", at positions 96 to 352 of the family's 1533-position model. Lineage: Bacteria; Bacillati; Bacillota; Bacilli; Caryophanales; Bacillaceae. The record is from RNAcentral.
CGGCGGACGGGUGAGUAACACGUGGGUAACCUGCCUGUAAGACUGGGAUAACUCCGGGAAACCGGGGCUAAUACCGGAUGCUUGAUUGAACCGCAUGGUUCAAUCAUAAAAGGUGGCUUUUAGCUACCACUUACAGAUGGACCCGCGGCGCAUUAGCUAGUUGGUGAGGUAACGGCUCACCAAGGCGACGAUGCGUAGCCGACCUGAGAGGGUGAUCGGCCACACUGGGACUGAGACACGGCCCAGACUCCUACGGGAGGCAGC